AUACUUACCUGGCAGGAGAGAUACCAUGAUCACCAAAUGGUUUCCCAGGGUGAGGCUCACCCAUGGCACUUCCCGAUGUGCUGACCCCUGCGAUUUCUCCAAAUGUGGUCAAAUCGACUGCAUAAUUUGUUGUAGUGGGGGACUGUGUUCCCACUCUCCCCUG
Small nuclear RNA from Phyllostomus discolor (pale spear-nosed bat), 163 nucleotides. RefSeq annotates it as U1 spliceosomal RNA. The record is from RefSeq and is a predicted model, not a curated record. Lineage: Eukaryota; Metazoa; Chordata; Mammalia; Chiroptera; Phyllostomidae. The transcript has a single exon.